Molecule: transfer RNA, 78 nt
Filed under: Vibrio phage phiKT1024
Lineage: Duplodnaviria; Heunggongvirae; Uroviricota; Caudoviricetes
Also listed under: 1 other name
Description: tRNA-Gly
Rfam family: tRNA
About the family: Transfer RNA (tRNA) molecules are approximately 80 nucleotides in length. Their secondary structure includes four short double-helical elements and three loops (D, anti-codon, and T loops).
Source: RNAcentral
GCGAUACUAGUGUUCAACGGUUUAGCAUACGAGGCUUCCACCCUCUAGGUACGGGUUCGAAUCCCGUGUAUCGCUCCA